UUUGGUUUGAUAGUUUAAUCAUGUCUACUAUCCAAUGUGAUUCAUUUACUUAUAUGAUUACCUUAAAUGUGAUUUGGAAUGACUUCCUAAAUCUCAUUCAUACUCUGGCCAGAGAUUCUUAAUCAUAUCAUAGAGUAUUCUCCCUCAAACAAUUUGAAGGUUAGAGAUCCCUUGUUGCGCAUUCACUUGCCUCCAUGGCUAAGUGGCUUAACCCCGACG
This 219-nucleotide long non-coding RNA is filed under the name Malus domestica (apple). RNAcentral describes it as "long non-coding RNA (MDOM_LNC000500)". The record is from RNAcentral. Lineage: Eukaryota; Viridiplantae; Streptophyta; Magnoliopsida; Rosales; Rosaceae.